GGGGGUGGGAACAUGGCAUGUGGUCCAAAUAUGAUUAUCGUUUUGAAUGAACUCGAUGAUCCGAAUGUAAGAAUAAUUGUAGAAUGCAGAAUUUAAAUUAAAUCAUUGUGGUUUGCUUCCUGUUCAUGUGAACAGGGAGUUUU
RNAcentral lists this small RNA (143 nucleotides) under Bacillus spizizenii TU-B-10. RNAcentral's name for it is "Bacillus subtilis subsp. spizizenii TU-B-10 Bacillus sRNA ncr952". It matches the Rfam family "Bacillus sRNA ncr952". Lineage: Bacteria; Bacillati; Bacillota; Bacilli; Caryophanales; Bacillaceae. The record is from Rfam by way of RNAcentral.